Molecule: non-coding RNA, 28 nt
Filed under: Mus musculus (house mouse)
Lineage: Eukaryota; Metazoa; Chordata; Mammalia; Rodentia; Muridae
Source: RNAcentral
UCACAAUCACGUGCCGUGAUGACUUGGA